UCUUGAAUCUAUUCCACACCUUAUUCUGGAACCUAUAGAUAAUGACACUUUGAUUUAUCAUGUAUCAUUUAUUGAGAAUAGUAGUAGAGCACAGAGUGAUAUACCUGAAUCAUUUCUGACAGAUAGAGAAUUUUAUGCACAAAGAAAAAAACAGGCAAACUUCUGUGUCUGAUAAAUCUGAAAAUUAUAAUUCUGUGACAGAUGGAGAAUCGAUGCACAAAGAAAGAAACGGUGAAACUUCUGUGUCUGAAAAAUUUGAAAAUUACAAUUCUAUGACAGAUUACACAUUAAAUGGUGAUAAAGAAAGUGUUCAAGCUUUAACUUUCUUCAAAGGAAACCUGGGUCAUCUCAACUUAAGCUCCAGAUCUGAGGAUAGACCAGCACUUUCAGAGAAUAUGAGAAAGAAAUGUCUAAAGCUUCUUGAAAGGUAUCCUAAUGGCAUGUAUGCAUCGAAUUUCCCUUCAUAUUUUGAGGAAGUUAACCUUCUUACAUUUGAUCUUCAUAGUCUGGGGUAUCACAGUCUGGCAGAUUUUAUUGAUGAUCUUCCAGAUAUAUUCACGAGGACAUCCAUUGCUGGUAGCAAAAAGGACUGGGUAAUUUACCCUGCAAGUUCUCGAGAUACAGCUGCUGUUGAAAAUGUUAAUCUGUCAAAUGGCAGCAUCUUUCAUAUUGAAAGUAUUAUUCUGAAUACAAGGAAAAUAUUGCAAGGCUAUCCUGAAGGCCUUACUUUAGACAAUUUUCUUCAUGUAUAUAGUAUUAACUGCAAUGAGCCAUUAUAUGUCAGAGAUCUGGGUUUUGAUAAACUUGAACAUUUCCUCCUAAGUAUAGCUGAACGUGUGCCUUUGAAAGUGGAAACAAGUGGUAACUCAAAAACUGUUCAUUUUAUAACAUAUGAUGACAUCCCGAUAAAACCACCUGUAAGUGCUCCUGCAGUUUUUGAAAAGGAGGCUCUUCCAUCUGAUGCUGCUUCCCCAGAUUCAAAAUUUGUAUUGCACCAGCUCCCAUCUGACUUUGAUUAUUCCAAAUAUAUGCCAGUUUAUACAUCAUCAAUAUUUAGCCCUGAUCUUAUAUACCUUCAAAUACAAGGAACUGACACUACAGAUGCAUUGUCAAUACUUAGUGAAGAAUUAGAUUCAUUUUAUCGUGGAUCAUUGAGUAAUAGCUACAAAAUGAAGAAUGCCCAUAUAAAAGUAGGAGCUGCAUGUGCAGCUCUGUGGCCAGGAGAUAAUCAUUGGUACAGAGCAAAAAUCAUGUCAAUACCUUCAAUGGAAAUGGUGCAGCUUUUUUAUGUUGAUUAUGGUACAAAAGAAGUAGUCCCGGUAUCAUUACUUAGAUACAUUCGGCAAAAACACAUGAAAUUGCCUGCUCAAGCUUUAAAAUCUCAACUUGCUUUCCUGAAACCUAAGGAAGAGAAUUGGAAUCUUGCUGUCAAGAGAAGGCUUUUAAGUCUAUGUCAAGAUGUUUCAUUGAUGGCUAAGAUAGAAGAAAGAAGUAUUGAUGGAACACUCUCUGUGAUUCUUUGUGAUACAAAUGGAGAACAAGAUAUCUAUAUUAAUGAUAUCUUAUUGAAGGAAGGGUUUGCAGAAAAUAAGAGUGCUUUGUAUCCCCAGUUAGGUGGCCAAGCUGCCUAUGGGAUUAAUAUUCCUCCAUUCCAAGCUGAAGGUGCCCAGCAUUUCCAGAGAAGCCCAUAUGCUGUUGUUGGUUCUCCACCAUCUACUGUAAAUGAUGUUGCUCUUAGUUUAUUGCAAAAGUUGACUUUAUGUUAUGCACAGAAUCCUCAGCUGAAGCAGCAGCAUAUCCAAAGUGGAUUUCUGAAUCCAUUUUUUAAUUUACCCUCUAGCACUAUGCUUGGGAAUCCUAGUCCUGUAAUGAAUCCUCUUCUAGCCUCUACUGGAUUAGUUGGACUUUCUCCUUUGACCCCUCCAUAUACUCCCAGUGCAUAUUUAGUUAACAUGUCAGAAUACCCAAGUCCACCUUCUGCUGAACUUAAUAGGCAACCUGUGAAACCAAAAUUUCCAUCUAGUAAGGAAAUGAAGGAAACAAAGAAACCAUCACUUGAUGAUUCUGAGAACAGUGAUGUAUUUGAUGAUGUUGAUGAUGAGAGGUUCCAGGAAUUUUAUGAAAAAGUAUUAUCUCCCGUUAGAAAAAGACUUGUAAAAAGGAUUAAUUUUGGGAAUGGCUAUGUAAUGCAUAUCAUUGUUUGGAAUUCAUUACCAUAUGUAUCAAGUGGAGAUAUUUCAGCUCUUAUUUGGUACAAUAAAGAAGCUGAUUAUUUAUUUCGUAGGUUACAACUUAAAGAAAUUACGUUUCCAGUAGUUGAUAUAUUUGAAGAAGGAAACGAAGAAUUAUUUAAUCAACUUAAAAGGUAUAAUGUUAAAGGUAUCCAAAAAGUUACCAGUUCAAAAUCUUGCGUUCAUCUUUAUCCUUUAUCCUGUGUCAUUAAAAUAUUGAACAUGUUUGGACAUCCAUCUGCCACAUUAAGGGUUAGAAUUGUGGAUGAAAUAUCCAGCUUCAAUUUAUCUGAUCCGAUAUGGCAAAAUCAGAAGCAAAUGAGAAUGAAGAAGUAGAAGUUCCAGAAACUGAUGAUGACAAGAUCAGCAGGCUUUGCCUCUUUGAUUUGCUUGCAAUGAAAGAAGGCAUUCGCUGUAGAAGGCUAAAAAUGGUAAACAAACUGAACGGUCCUGAGAAUUAUCAGUGUGUUGAAGAGAUUGAAAAGCUUGAACAGUUGCAUGAGAAAGUUUUAGAACGAAUCCAAGAAAUUAAAGAAGUGUGUGAACUUUUCUCAUAGAAAAAAG
This 2795-nucleotide unclassified non-coding RNA is filed under the name Stegodyphus dumicola. RNAcentral's name for it is "uncharacterized LOC118192573, transcript variant X2". The record is from RNAcentral. Lineage: Eukaryota; Metazoa; Arthropoda; Arachnida; Araneae; Eresidae.